AAAAUAUCUCCUUGUGUUCAAUCAAUAAAAAUGAUAAUGACCUAGGUCAAACCCCAGCACAAACAGAUGGUUGAUAUAGUAGGGAGAUAUGGCU
Molecule: microRNA precursor, 94 nt
Filed under: Plutella xylostella (diamondback moth)
Lineage: Eukaryota; Metazoa; Arthropoda; Insecta; Lepidoptera; Plutellidae
Description: microRNA pxy-mir-8487 precursor
Source: miRBase by way of RNAcentral